RNAcentral lists this transfer RNA (73 nucleotides) under Endomicrobium sp. RNAcentral describes it as "tRNA-Ala". It matches the Rfam family "tRNA". Rfam says of the family: Transfer RNA (tRNA) molecules are approximately 80 nucleotides in length. Their secondary structure includes four short double-helical elements and three loops (D, anti-codon, and T loops). The record is from RNAcentral. Lineage: Bacteria; Pseudomonadati; Elusimicrobiota; Endomicrobiia; Endomicrobiales; Endomicrobiaceae.
GGGGCUAUAGCUCAGCUGGGAGAGCGCUUGCAUGGCAUGCAAGAGGCCAGGGGUUCAAUUCCCCUUAGCUCCA